This 1462-nucleotide long non-coding RNA is filed under the name Canis lupus familiaris (dog). RNAcentral's name for it is "lncRNA (ENSCAFG00000059250.1)". The record is from RNAcentral. Lineage: Eukaryota; Metazoa; Chordata; Mammalia; Carnivora; Canidae.
UUUUUUUUUUUUUUUUUUUUUUUUUUUUUUAUGCAGAAAUUACUUUUAUUAUGUUAGAAUAUUCCUUAAUGGGUUGGCAAUUAUUCAUGUGAAGGAGAGUUCAGAAAACAGAUUUAUGACUGUAUUAGCCUUGUCCUUGAUUAGAGAUUUAUGAAUUAUACAAAAAAUAUUAUUCCCUAGAGAAGGUUACUCUAAAAGUAGUAGUAGAAAAGGUCUAAGAGACUGUGAACUUAGAAGAGCUACUUGUCUGGCUGUUCCAGGUGGACCACAAGACUUCAGUACAAGGAUGGAAAUGUGUUCUCUGUUGAAUUUAAAGCUUUACAACAGUCCGAAUGCUCUUUCCUGCAUGCAACAGGUCAAAGGCUUCAUUAAUUUGGUCAAAAGACAGACUGUGAGUCACAAAUUCAUCAACUUUUAUCUUUCUGGACAUAUAUUCAGACACCAACUUUGGGACACUUUCCACACUCUUCCAUCCUCCAAAGGCAGUGCCUUUCCAUACACGCCCUGUUACCAGCUGAAAUGGACGAGUGGCGAUUUCUUCACCUGAAGCAGCUACUCCAACUAUGACGCUGACACCCCAGCCUUUGUGGCAGGCCUCUAGCGCAGCUCUCAUGACUUUCACGUUACCAAUACACUCAAAGGAAUAGUCCACUCCCCCGUCAGUCAUUUCAAUGAGCACUUCCUGGAUGGGUUUACUAAAGUCCUGGGGGUUAAUACAUUCAGAGGCUCCAAACUCCUUGGCCCUUGAGAAUUUAUCUUUAUUGAUGUCCACACCAAUGAUCCGGGAUGCACCAGCCACUUUACAGCCCAUGAUAGUCGCCAAUCCAACUCCUCCUAGGCCAAAGACGGCACAAGUAGAGCCAGGCUCCACCUUGGCAGUGUUCAGAGCAGCACCAUAACCAGUUGAAAUGCCACAACCGAGAAGGCAGACUUUAUCCAAAGGUGCUAAAGGAUCAAUUUUAGCAACAGAGAUAUCAGCCACAACUGUAUAUUCAGAAAAUGUGCUGGUUCCCAUAUAAUGUAAAAUUGUCUUUCCUUUGCAAGUAAAUCUGCUAGUACCAUCUGGCAUUAAUCCUUUCCCCUGUGUAACUCUUAUCUUCUGGCAAAGGUUUGUUUUAGGAUUUAGACAAAAUUUGCAUUCUCCACACUGUGGGAUGUAAAGUGGGAUGACAGUGUCACCUGCUUUCAGCUUAGUAACUCCUUCGCCAACACUUUCCACAAUUCCAGCACCUUCAUGUCCCAGGAUCACUGGAAAACUUCCUUCAGGAUCAGCCCCACUCAGGGUGUAGGCAUCGGUGUGGCAAACUGCAGUGGCAAUAAUCUUAAUUCGAACUUCAUGAGCCUUUGGGGGUGCCACCUCUACCUCUUCUAUAGAGAGAGGCUUUCCUGCCUCCCAGGCAACUGCAGCCUUACACUUGAUAACCUGGUUCGCCAUGUCCUCUGCUCCGGGUCAGUGAGGGGC